GAUGAACGCUAGCGGCAGGCUUAACACAUGCAAGUCGAGGGGUAGAGUUAGCUUGCUAACUUGAGACCGGCGCACGGGUGCGUAACGCGUAUGCAAUCUACCUUGUACAGAGGGAUAGCCCAGAGAAAUUUGGAUUAAUACCUCAUAGUAUUAUUGAAUGGCAUCAUUUGAUUAUUAAAGUUCCAACGGUACAAGAUGAGCAUGCGUCCCAUUAGCUAGAUGGUAAGGUAACGGCUUACCAUGGCAACGAUGGGUAGGGGUACUGAGAGGGAGAUCCCCCACACUGGUACUGAGACACGGACCAGACCCCUACGGGAGGCAGCAGUGAGGAAUAUUGGUCAAUGGGCGCAAGCCUGAACCAGCCAUGCCGCGUGCAGGAAGACGGUCCUAUGGAUUGUAAACUGCUUUUAUACGGGAAGAAACCCUGCUACGUGUAGCAGCUUGACGGUACCGUAAGAAUAAGCAUCGGCUAACUCCGUGCCAGCAGCCGCCGUAA
Molecule: ribosomal RNA, 496 nt
Filed under: uncultured bacterium
Lineage: Bacteria
Description: partial 16S ribosomal RNA
Rfam family: Bacterial small subunit ribosomal RNA
Source: RNAcentral